This 121-nucleotide small nucleolar RNA is filed under the name Zea mays. Its description in RNAcentral is "Small nucleolar RNA SNORD14". It matches the Rfam family "Small nucleolar RNA SNORD14". Rfam says of the family: U14 small nucleolar RNA (U14 snoRNA) is required for early cleavages of eukaryotic precursor rRNAs. In yeasts, this molecule possess a stem-loop region (known as the Y-domain) which is essential for function. The record is from Rfam by way of RNAcentral. Lineage: Eukaryota; Viridiplantae; Streptophyta; Magnoliopsida; Poales; Poaceae.
UGGCGAUGAUGAUAAAGCCAAGGCUUGUUUUUCUUGACAUUUGCAGUAGCCACCCAAAAGCUUUAUGCCUGCUAGUCUUGAGAGCUAGUGCUGCUAAUUCCUUCCUAGGAUGUCUAAGCCA